This 478-nucleotide ribosomal RNA is filed under the name uncultured bacterium. Its description in RNAcentral is "partial 16S ribosomal RNA". It matches the Rfam family "Bacterial small subunit ribosomal RNA", at positions 28 to 523 of the family's 1533-position model. The record is from RNAcentral.
GACGAACGCUGGCGGCGUGCUUAACACAUGCAAGUCGAACGGUAAGGCCCUUCGGGGUACACGAGUGGCGAACGGGUGAGUAACACGUGGGUGAUCUGCCCUGCACUUCGGGAUAAGCCUGGGAAACUGGGUCUAAUACCGGAUAGGACUCCUGGCUUCAUGGUUGGGGGUGGAAAGCUUUUGCGGUGUGGGAUGGGCCCGCGGCCUAUCAGCUCGUUGGUGGGGUAAUGGCCUACCAAGGCGACGACGGGUAGCCGGCCUGAGAGGGUGACCGGUAGCACUGGGACUGGGAUGCGGCCCAGACUCCUACGGGGGGCAGCAGUGGGGAAUAUUGCACAAUGGGCGCAAGCCUGAUGCAGCGACGCCGCGUGAGGGAUGACGGCCUUCGGGUUGUAAACCUCUUUCAGCUAUGACGAAGCGCAAGUGACGGUAGUAGCAGAAGAAGGACCGGCCAACUACGUGCCAGCCGCCGCGGUAA